CUGGCUCAGGACGAACGCUGGCGGCGUGCCUAACACAUGCAAGUCGAACGGAGUUAAUGAUUUCGGUUGUUAACUUAGUGGCGAACGGGUGAGUAACGCGUGAACAACCUGACCCAAAGAGGGGGAUAACAUUUUGGAAACAGAUGCUAAUACCGCAUAAGACCACAACGUCACAUGGCGAAGGGGUCAAAGGAGCAAUCCGCUUUGGGAGGGGUUCGCGUCCCAUUAGGUAGAUGGCGGGGUAACGGCCCACCAUGCCAACGAUGGGUAGCCGAGCUGAGAGGCUGAUCGGCCACACUGGAACUGAGACACGGUCCAGACUCCUACGGGAGGCAGCAGUGGGGAAUAUUGGGCAAUGGGCGCAAGCCCUGACCCAGCAACGCCGCGUGAGGGAAGAAGGUUUUCGGAUUGUAAACCUCUGUCGCAGAAGACGAAGGAAGUGACGGUAUUCUGUGAGGAAGCCCCGGCUAACUACGUGCCAGCCGCAGC
RNAcentral lists this ribosomal RNA (489 nucleotides) under uncultured bacterium. RNAcentral's name for it is "bacterial SSU rRNA". It matches the Rfam family "Bacterial small subunit ribosomal RNA", at positions 19 to 518 of the family's 1533-position model. The record is from RNAcentral.